UCCAGUUUUGGUUGAUCUAUUAUUAAUUCUCUGGACAGGAUUCCAUUCCCCCAAAAAAUAAUGCAUAUGCGUCUUUGCCAGUUGCCAUAUUGGUCCCCUUUUCACCUUUUUAAUUGUGCGUUUUGUUCCUUCUCAAUAUUGCUGUUAAAUAAAUUGCUAGGCGAUGCGUUCAGUGUUCUGCAUAGAGUCCCCUGACCAGGGGAUGAAUUUGCUUCUGCGAAGGAAAUUGUAAAUCUGUGACAUAAUGACCUGUCUUUCUGGUUUGGUCAGUGCUCUGUAAUAACCAACAGAUCCACCUGAAAUGGAACGAUUCGCCACUGACUUCAUGCAUCAGAAUUUUGCUGUUGAUGUCUCUAUCCAGCCACCUUAACUAAUUGGUAUUAGUUUAGAUAUAUUCAGCUUUUUUGAGUAGUAUACUGUUCUUCCUGUUGUCACCUGUCAUCACUGCCAUCAUCUACAUCACCAACACUGAAGGCCUACCAGCAUUUACUUUAUUUGAUACACUUUGUUGGUACAAGACUAUGGUGACUUGAUCUUGUCUUCCUUUGCUACUUGGAAUAUCUUCUCCUAGGGGAGGGGCACUAGCGGACAGCUCGGCAACGGUGAAAUAGUCGACAGGAACACGCCUGUGCUGAUCGAUGCCCUGAGCUUAGACGGUUCUGCCUGCAAGAAGCUGGAGUCAUCCACGGCAGCCCCGUUCGCAG
Zea mays is the source of this 704-nucleotide RNA transcript. RefSeq lists it as uncharacterized. The record is from RefSeq and is a predicted model, not a curated record. NCBI's taxonomy places the organism in Eukaryota, Viridiplantae, Streptophyta, Magnoliopsida, Poales, Poaceae. The transcript has 2 exons.